Thalassophryne amazonica is the source of this 811-nucleotide long non-coding RNA. RefSeq lists it as uncharacterized. Lineage: Eukaryota; Metazoa; Chordata; Actinopteri; Batrachoidiformes; Batrachoididae. The transcript is spliced from 2 exons. The record is from RefSeq and is a predicted model, not a curated record.
CGUUUAUAUUUUUGUUGAGUGUAUAUAUAUAUAUCUCAAUCAGCAGUUACAGCUGUUGAAAGUAGGUUUCUUUGUUUUUUUAAAAUUGUGAUCUAGACAAAAUGCUGAGUAUAAACAUUUGACUCUUCUCAGGGGGUUUACAAAGGCGCCGUGUUCCCUCCACUGUGCAGCGAUGUCAUUCUAUAAAUGUAAUCGUUUGCUUUGUUGACCAAUUUUGCAAUUUACAAUCAUAUUUACGCUGUAGAGCGUUCUAAUGUCUCUCUCUAACAGAAGAAUGUAAUGACUAAAACAUUUUUGUUGCCUUUCUUAAAAGUGACAAAACUGCUUCAAAUACUAUAUUCGGGUUUAGAAAUAAUCACUUAUUUUAAAGAAGCAUCACCAGUUAUAAUUAAAGAUGCUGGCACUGCAGAUACUCUAGUUUAAGUGUACGCACACUGUCAGCAACAGUAAAAAGGCUACGGAUUUUGCUGUUGAUAAACUGUUUUCUCAGAAUCUGCUUUAUUAUUUCUAUGGGAUCUGUGCUGGUAAAUAUCUAGUUACAUAAUAGGCAGAUCUGCAGUGUAUUUUCUUUAACAUAACUAUUUUAAUGCUUAGAUGAGCAGGGCUAGCACAUCACAGGGCCAUUUCUAAAAAAUAUUCGUUAUUUAGUUUUUCAGAUUUCAGAGCCUUAAUUGUGUGUAUAUAAUACGAAGACUAAUCAUAAUAAUAUACACCCAGAGCUUUCAUUUUUAAGAUGAUGUGCCUAUAACUGCUGAGAUGCUACAUAAUUGUGGCUAAGACUGACUUGUGAAUAACAGAAAAAUGUGUUGGC